Molecule: ribosomal RNA, 399 nt
Filed under: uncultured bacterium
Lineage: Bacteria
Description: partial 16S ribosomal RNA
Rfam family: Bacterial small subunit ribosomal RNA
Source: RNAcentral
UGGGGAAUAUUGCACAAUGGGCGCAAGCCUGAUGCAGCCAUGCCGCGUGUGUGAAGAAGGCCUUCGGGUUGUAAAGCACUUUCAGCGAGGAGGAAGGGUUCAGUGUUAAUAGCACUGUUCAUUGACGUUACUCGCAGAAGAAGCACCGGCUAACUCCGUGCCAGCAGCCGCGGUAAUACGGAGGGUGCAAGCGUUAAUCGGAAUUACUGGGCGUAAAGCGCACGCAGGCGGUUUGUUAAGUCAGAUGUGAAAUCCCCGCGCUUAACGUGGGAACUGCAUUUGAAACUGGCAAGCUAGAGUCUUGUAGAGGGGGGUAGAAUUCCAGGUGUAGCGGUGAAAUGCGUAGAGAUCUGGAGGAAUACCGGUGGCGAAGGCGGCCCCCCUGGACAAAGACUGACG